GGAUUAGUGGCGAACGGGUGAGUAACACGUGGGCAAUCUGCCCUUCACUCUGGGACAAGCCCUGGAAACGGGGUCUAAUACCGGAUACGACGCGCUCGGGCAUCCGAUGUGCGUGGAAAGCUCCGGCGGUGAAGGAUGAGCCCGCGGCCUAUCAGCUUGUUGGUGAGGUAACGGCUCACCAAGGCGACGACGGGUAGCCGGCCUGAGAGGGCGACCGGCCACACUGGGACUGAGACACGGCCCAGACUCCUACGGGAGGCAGCAGUGGGGAAUAUUGCACAAUGGGCGAAAGCCUGAUGCAGCGACGCCGCGUGAGGGAUGACGGCCUUCGGGUUGUAAACCUCUUUCAGCAGGGAAGAAGCGAAAGUGACGGUACCUGCAGAAGAAGCGCCGGCUAACUACGUGCCAGCAGCCGCGGUAAUACGUAGGGCGCGAGCGUUGUCCGGAAUUAUUGGGCGUAAAGAGCUCGUAGGCGGUCUGUCGCGUCGGAUGUGAAAGCCCGGGGCUUAACCCCGGGUCUGCAUUCGAUACGGGCAGACUAGAGUGUGGUAGGGGAGAUCGGAAUUCCUGGUGUAGCGGUGAAAUGCGCAGAUAUCAGGAGGAACACCGGUGGCGAAGGCGGAUCUCUGGGCCAUUACUGACGCUGAGGAGCGAAAGCGUGGGGAGCGAACAGGAUUAGAUACCCUGGUAGUCCACGCCGUAAACGGUGGGAACUAGGUGUUGGCGACAUUCCA
This 734-nucleotide ribosomal RNA is filed under the name bacterium PBA-1-1. RNAcentral's name for it is "bacterial SSU rRNA". It matches the Rfam family "Bacterial small subunit ribosomal RNA", at positions 89 to 836 of the family's 1533-position model. The record is from RNAcentral.